AAGAAGCUAUAAGACACUUGGAUAAUGCCAAGAUGCAUUUCGAGGAAGGCUUGUCAGCACGACAUAAAGCAGGAGAGUCUACUAAGCUUAUUACCAAGGGCAUCCGAGGGAAAAGUGCCUCUGAGAAACUAACUGAAGAAGGACUAGUCAAAUUUUCUGCUAGAGUUGCUAUCCAGAUAGAUGUUGUCAGAUGCUUUAAUGAUGCAGA
Molecule: unclassified non-coding RNA, 208 nt
Filed under: Hevea brasiliensis (rubber tree)
Lineage: Eukaryota; Viridiplantae; Streptophyta; Magnoliopsida; Malpighiales; Euphorbiaceae
Source: RNAcentral